Molecule: small nucleolar RNA, 138 nt
Organism: Tachyglossus aculeatus (Australian echidna)
Lineage: Eukaryota; Metazoa; Chordata; Mammalia; Monotremata; Tachyglossidae
Source: RefSeq, a predicted model, not a curated record
CCCCUCUCAGGGUCACACCUGGAGAGUUUCCAGUACUCUACCAGUCUCGACAAUGGAAGGAUAGGUCAAGUAGAGGCCCAGUCAUUCCAUUCCUGGCUUGGCCAGUGGCUAGCGAGUGGAAGGCAAUCUGCUACAAGU